AUGAAUAUAUCACUUAAGAGUAAAAUCUUUGUGUGGUAUCUUCGUCGAGGAGUCAUUCUUACGAAAGACAACCUUAUUAAGAGGAAUUGACACGGAAGUACGCAAUGUGUUUUUUGUCAUCAUGAUGAAACAAUAAAACAUUUGUUCUUCCAAUGUAAAUUAGCUCGUUCUAUAUGGUCAAUCAUCGAACUAGCUUCUGGUUUGUAUCCUCCACGUAGUCUUGCUAACAUUUUUGGCAAUUGGUUACAUGAGAUUGAUCACAUGCUCAGAAUUCUUAUCAGGGUGGGAGCACUUACCGUUCUUUGGUAG
This 309-nucleotide ribosomal RNA is filed under the name Triticum aestivum (bread wheat). RNAcentral describes it as "partial small subunit ribosomal RNA". The record is from RNAcentral. Lineage: Eukaryota; Viridiplantae; Streptophyta; Magnoliopsida; Poales; Poaceae.